This 90-nucleotide ribosomal RNA is filed under the name Salirhabdus euzebyi. The record is from RNAcentral. Lineage: Bacteria; Bacillati; Bacillota; Bacilli; Caryophanales; Bacillaceae.
ACCUGUACCCAUUCCGAACACAGAAGUUAAGCUCUCCAGCGCCGAUGGUAGUUGGGGUUCUUCCCCUGCGAGAGUAGGACGCUGCUGGGC